CCCACACACACCCCCGCCCCCCACCAAGGUAGCCACCUGUCUACCUUGGUCUUUGUGUGUUCACCUAUUCUGGGCUCUUGGUGUAAAUAGAAUCACAUGACUUGUGACUUCUCGGCACAGUGUGUUUGUUCAAGACUCGCCAUGUGGUCGCCCGUGCCAGUGCGUCCCUCUUUCUGUCCGAAUGGUACCCGUGGUUAUCCCUCAUCCCUCCGCGGGCUCUUGGGCUGCUUGCCCUCUUUGGCCAUGAUGAAUAGAGCUACCGUGGACAUUUGUAUACCAGCUUCUGUGUGAAUCUCCUCCUCCAGUUCUUUUGUGUCCACACUCAGGUAUGGAAUUGCUGGGCUCUCUGUUAACAGCUCACUUUUUGGAGUCCUCAACAGUUCCAGGAGGGUGUUGCAUGUUUCCUCUUUAACUGGGGUCACUUCUGUCCUUCACUCUCCUUUCAACCUGCAGAGGAGAGGCACCCUGGGCUCUAGUGACAUUGAGGGUGUUAGUGUGUGGACCUCCCCCGUCCCCGCCAAGUACUGGGGAAGAAGGGCUUGAUUGGUGGCUUUGCCAGACGUGUGACUGUCGGUAGUGAACUGACCUGCACGUUCUCAGGGCCUUUUCAAGAUGAGCCCCUUUCUGCCCUCCGUUUCCCCCAGCCUACAUGUGGGAAAGGUAAAGAAAUGUGUUGUUCUCCUCUCCGGGUGGUUACAGAGUUUGUGAUCUCUUUCGAAGGGCUUAUUCUGGGGCUUAUUCCCCAGGGGGGACAGAGCAUUUGGGAUAGGAGGAUGCCCCGGCUGUGCCCCAGGGGAGGGGGAUUAGAACAGCAUGAGGCCACACCCAGACCUCCCAACUGUGGACCCCAAGCGGGCUGCUUCUCUCCCUACCCUAGGGAUGAUCCUGCAUCUCUCCUCAUCAGGUUGGUUGGGGAAGACUCAUCUUAACAUCCACAGUAGUGGGCAGGCUGGAAAGAGCGAGCCAGGGUAACAGGGUGGUGGCAGGGGACACAGUGGCCAGCAUCAUACUUCCUGUGUCCAAGUCUCCAGGGCUGCCUAGCAGUGGGACCUGUGGGUGAGCGCGUGCACCUUCUGGAGGGGCCAGGAGGGUCUGAGUGAGGUCCGGUUUCCUCUGCACCUGGUGAGAAGACUGUCCCCUCUAACAGUUUCUCCAGAGCGGUCCUUCAAAGUGCUCACAGCAUUCUUAUUCUUCUUCCCUGAAUAGUUCUCCUCUCUUCAAACUGCAGGGAAUAUAAUCAGAAGAGUUUCGCUGGUCCCCACCCAUUGGGUUCUCAAUUUGAGCCGCUGCCAGCUUGAUUUAUUGCAGGAAGCCUGCACGGUCUUCUUCGUUAUCCUGUAGACUUGAAUUUAUCUGAGCGUCCACUGUGAUGCUCAGAAUCAAUCUCUCUCCCCCCCCCCUCUCUCAUUUAUUUUGUUUUGUUUUCUGCUUCUAAUUACACACUCUGGAUUGAUGAUUCCUCGUGUUCUUUAUAGAAAUAAUGUCUUCAUGUUCCCCUUUUGACUGGCCGCCCACUGUUGGCCCUCCCCAGAUCACAUGGGGGGGGGAGAUAUUCUUGAAGGAAGGGGACAGUAUAGGGUGCUGACAUCAGAGGCUGGGCAGAGGGAAAUGACGCCCGACCCCACCGUAUGCUGAGUAGAAAGAACUUGUCACCUCCCCCAAAGCCACCUCACAUUCCUUUGGGGUGAAAUGUGGGGGUAGGAGGGUGUCCUCUCCACAUGUGUUAUGGUUUAGAUGUGGGGUCCCCCAAAAGCUCACGUGUGAGAUGACGCAAGGGGGUUCAGUGGAGAAAUGAUAGGGUCACAGCCUUGACCCAAUCAGUGAAUCCAUUCCUGAUGGGAUUAACUGGGUGGUCACUGGAGGUAGGUGGGGUGUGGCUGGAGGAGGUGGUUCACUGGGGACGUGGCUUUGGGGUACAUAGUUGUAAUCUGGAGAGUGGGGUCCCUCUGCUUUCUGAUCAAUAUGUGAGCCGCUUCCCUCCACCACACUCUUCUGCCAUGAUGUUCAGCCUUACCUUGAGCCCCGAGGAAUGGAGCCGGCCUUCCAUGGACUGAGUCCUCUGAAACCGUGAGCCCUAAAUAAACCUUUCCUCCUCUACAGUUUUUCUAGUUGGCCCUUUAGUCACAGGAGCGAGAAAAGCUGGCUAAAAUAACAUGGGUACCCUGAGUCACUGCGGUCUCCACCACCGACAGCCAGUGUGACCUGGUCCUCUCUGAAUCUCAGCUCCGAGUGAAUAGAAGCUGAGCCCCAGCUUCGUCUGGAUGGGGGCCUGCCGAGUGUCCAAGCAGUUCCAAGAACAGCAGAACACUAAAUAUGAACCCGUGGCUGCAUUAGGAUAAUGAUCAUCAUUAUUACCCCUAAAAGCGGGAUAAUCGCUGUGACCCACUUCGGGGGACCUGUUGUAACUAAUGCCCUUGGAGAGCUGUGCCAAUAGCAAGUGCAGGGUAGGCAGAGGCCAUGGGCUCUGGCUGAAGUGAUCCCUGCCUCUGCGAGUGUCACCCACUUGUCCUUCACUUUGGUCACAAGCCUAGGGAGCAUUUUUUUGGAAAUGCUCAACCUUGGCUCAUGUGGGCCUCUGCUCUGAGCUUGCCAGGGGGUCAGUAGCAGAAACUGCUCGCCCUGCUUGAAGGAAACAGGGGAAGCUAUUAGGAUACGUGGGACUUCGUGGUUCUGAAUAUAAGGGCGAGAAGGAGGCCAGACUUCUGAAAUGGAAACACUUUUCUCCCCCCUGAUGCUGGGGAUGGAGCUCAGGAUUUGGUGCAUGCUUGGCAAGCCACAGACCCAGCCCAUCAGCAGCAAAAUUUACCUUCCCAUUUGUUUCCCUUCUUUACAAAGAAAUGCACUCCAGCGGUGGCCCCUGUGCACCCCUCCAGCCCCACCCGCGUCCCUCUGGACCACUCCUGAUUCUGGCACUGGCCAGUCCUGCGGACACGUCCACACUUGACCACUUCACACGCCACGACCCCGCGUGUCGUCCUGAGGACGAUCUCCCACGUGCUGCCCAGCACGGUCUAACCUUGCUCUACCCCGUGUUCCUCUGGGGACCUCUUUGUGUGGAUCAAGGCACCGGGGCCUGUUCACUGCCGUCCGUCCGGGAUUCAGGGAAAUUCCUGCUCCACCGUGUAUCCAGGCUCCCGCUGAUGGGCACCAGCAGGCCCUGAAGGUUUCUCUGUGUCAUGGUUAGGGUCUUCAGUGAUCCCAAAGGCACGUGUGCCAAAUGCUUGGUCAUUGGGCCAUUGGUCAGUGUAGAACUGUCAGGAGGAGAAGCCUAGUGGAAAGACAGGCUACUGGGGUGCGUCCCUUGAGGGGCUCCUGGACCCUGCCCCUUCUUGGUGAUCGCUCAGCUUCCCGACUGCCCUGAGAGGAGAAACCUGCCCCCCACUGAGUUGUUGCCCCAAAGCAGCAGACAACCAACCACACCUGAAACCCUCUCCUCCUCUCCAGCUGUUAUCUCAAGUACUCUUCCCAGCGACAGAGGCCUGACGAACCCACCCACUGCCGGACCUGUGUUGGUUUUAGCUCCCCCCAAAGUAGAGCUGAGACCAGGGCUUGGGGUAUUUUGGGGGUGCUCUCUGUCAGCAGGAGGAGGACAUACUGCUCUGUGCUACAUCACCCCAUGACCUGGCAGAUCAGAGAAAAGGCUGCCUCACAUCACUCCUUGAAGUCGCCUGGAGUCAGGAAUCCAGGGUGGGCUGCUUGGUGGGGAGCAGUGUCAUCUGAAGACUCGCCCGGGGGCAGGGGUUGGCAGGAGGCCUCAGAUCCUCUCCACAGAGAUGCUUGAUGGCCUCCAAGCCCAGCCGCUGGCUUCCCCCAGGGCGAGAGAUCCACCAGAUGGAGGAAGAAUUGGUUUCAGGAAUCUCCAACUGUCACCUCCGCCUCAUUCCCCUGGAUGAACAGACGGGCCUGGAUGCAGCAUUGGGGGGGGGUUCCACAGGAAGUGAGGCCCCCCUGGAGUCGUCUUGGAAGCUGGCCACUGUGGCUAGAGAAGAGCCAGGAAGCACCUGAGGGGACCUCAUGGAGUUGGUCACUGUUCUAGGUACCUGCAGCUCAACCCCACCAAGGGUGCUGUGAAGAACUACCAAGAAUACGUGGGACAGAGUUCAGGGGCUCUUUACAGACUAUCAUUCUCAGGAGCUGAGAUAACCUCCUCUACAAAUCCUGAGAGAAGUGGAGGGACCCUGCAAGGCCAAGUCGGGACACUCUCAGUGUGCAGAGUAGCCCCAAAUCAAGGCCAGGCUGAGGAGGUGUGCACAAAAGACCUCUGUCUCACAACAUGGCUGCGAGAAACAUUCCCUUGCAGGCAUCUGUCCGUGAGUCAACAUGGUUACGCGCCGUGGACAGCUGCUAAAAUGGCUCCUGGUAUUCACAUUCUCUGCUCAAUCGCUCACCUGGUAGGUAGACCAGGUCUAGUGACUCUUCUAGAGAAUAGAAGUGGUGGGAGGUCUCUCCUGAGACUAGGCUAGGAAAGACGGUGAUCUCUUGGGAGAGACCCCCCAAGCCAGAGCCCCCAGUAAGUGGGACCUGGACUCCUGAUCCACAGAUUCUGUUGUUUUGCUAAACUGCUCCAUUUAAGAGUAAUUUUAUAAACACUCAAUAGCCCAAGAAGUGGGUGAAGGUACACAUGGAGCAACAUCGAUCAUGGGUCAGCAACUGUUGCGACAGGGUGACGGGUUAUACUGUGUUGCCA
RNAcentral lists this long non-coding RNA (4687 nucleotides) under Marmota monax (woodchuck). Lineage: Eukaryota; Metazoa; Chordata; Mammalia; Rodentia; Sciuridae. The record is from RNAcentral.